UGGCGACCGGCGCACGGGUGAGUAACGCGUAUGCAACUUACCUAUCAGAGGGGGAUAGCCCGGCGAAAGUCGGAUUAAUACCCCAUGAAACAGGGGUCCCGCAUGGGAAUAUUUGUUAAAGAUUCAUCGCUGAUAGAUAGGCAUGCGUUCCAUUAGGCAGUUGGCGGGGUAACGGCCCACCAAACCGACGAUGGAUAGGGGUUCUGAGAGGAAGGUCCCCCACAUUGGUACUGAGACACGGUCCAA
This 246-nucleotide ribosomal RNA is filed under the name uncultured bacterium. RNAcentral describes it as "partial 16S ribosomal RNA". It matches the Rfam family "Bacterial small subunit ribosomal RNA", at positions 89 to 334 of the family's 1533-position model. The record is from RNAcentral.